This 848-nucleotide ribosomal RNA is filed under the name uncultured Glomus. RNAcentral describes it as "sequence contains 18S rRNA gene". The record is from RNAcentral. Lineage: Eukaryota; Fungi; Glomeromycota; Glomeromycetes; Glomerales; Glomeraceae.
GGGGGCUAGUGCAUGCUCCGGCCGCCAUGGCGGCCGCGGGAAUUCGAUUGAACCCUUACACUUUGGUUUCCCGUAAGGCGCCGAAUGAGUCAUUAAAAAAUUAACAUCAUCCGAUCCCUACGCGGAGUAGUUUAGGGUUAAGACUACCACGGUAUCUGAUCGUCUUCGAUCCCCUAACUUUCGUUCUUGAUUAAUGAAAACAUCCUUGGCAAAUGCUUUCGCAGUAGUUAGUCUUCAAUAAAUCCAAGAAUUUCACCUCUGACAAUUGAAUACUAAUGCCCCCAACUAUCCCUAUUAAUCAUUACGUCGAUCCUAGAAACCAACAAAAUAGAAUCAAACGUCCUAUUUCAUUAUUCCAUGCUAAUGUAUUCAAGCGAAAGCCUGCUUUAAACACUCUAAUUUUUUCAAAGUAACAGUCCUGAUUCCCCACGACAUCAAAUAAAUGACAUCGUGGUUCUUCAGAGGGGAGAAAUCAAUAAUACCGAGUACAUACCUAAGCAUGACCGAUAUAUUGAUCCCGAAAUUCAACUACGAGCUUUUUAACUGCAACAACUUUAAUAUACGCUAUUGGAGCUGGAAUUACCGCGGCUGCUGGCACCAGACUUGCCCUCCAAUUGUCCCUCGUUAAGAGAUUUAAAUUGUACUCAUUCCAACUACGAGAUCCAAAAGAAUCCCGUAUUGUUAUUUAUCGUCACUACCUCCCCGUGUCGGGAUUGGGUAAUUUGCGCGCCUGCUGCCAUCCUUGGAUGUGGUAGCCGUUUCUCAGGCUCCCUCUCCGGUGUCGUGCCCUAACACCCCGUUACCCGUUACCACCAUGGUAGGCCUCUAUCCUACCAUCGAAAGUUGAU